RNAcentral lists this ribosomal RNA (857 nucleotides) under uncultured bacterium. RNAcentral describes it as "bacterial SSU rRNA". It matches the Rfam family "Bacterial small subunit ribosomal RNA", at positions 91 to 944 of the family's 1533-position model. The record is from RNAcentral.
UUCAGCGGCGGACGGGUGAGUAAUGCCUAGGAAUCUGCCCGAUAGUGGGGGACAACGUUUCGAAAGGAGCGCUAAUACCGCAUACGUCCUACGGGAGAAAGUGGGGGAUCUUCGGACCUCACGCUAUCGGAUGAGCCUAGGUCGGAUUAGCUAGUUGGUGAGGUAAUGGCUCACCAAGGCGACGAUCCGUAACUGGUCUGAGAGGAUGAUCAGUCACACUGGAACUGAGACACGGUCCAGACUCCUACGGGAGGCAGCAGUGGGGAAUAUUGGACAAUGGGCGAAAGCCUGAUCCAGCCAUGCCGCGUGUGUGAAGAAGGUCUUCGGAUUGUAAAGCACUUUAAGUUGGGAGGAAGGGCUGUCGGCUAAUACCCUGCAGUUUUGACGUUACCAACAGAAUAAGCACCGGCUAACUUCGUGCCAGCAGCCGCGGUAAUACGAAGGGUGCAAGCGUUAAUCGGAAUUACUGGGCGUAAAGCGCGCGUAGGUGGUUCAGCAAGUUGGAUGUGAAAGCCCCGGGCUCAACCUGGGAACUGCAUCCAAAACUACUGAGCUAGAGUACGGUAGAGGGUGGUGGAAUUUCCUGUGUAGCGGUGAAAUGCGUAGAUAUAGGAAGGAACACCAGUGGCGAAGGCGACCACCUGGGCUAAUACUGACACUGAGGUGCGAAAGCGUGGGGAGCAAACAGGAUUAGAUACCCUGGUAGUCCACGCCGUAAACGAUGUCGACUAGCCGUUGGGAUCCUUGAGAUCUUAGUGGCGCAGCUAACGCAUUAAGUCGACCGCCUGGGGAGUACGGCCGCAAGGUUAAAACUCAAAUGAAUUGACGGGGGCCCGCACAAGCGGUGGAGCAUGUGG